AUAACGAUCGGCUAAAUGCUAACGGAGGCGAUCGUUAACCGAGCUUCGGUUUAUUUUGAAGCCAAAAAAAAAUACACCGACAAGAAGGAGGACUCUUGACACCAGCCGGGACCAUGUAUAAAGAGGACGAGCGGUGUUACACGUCGCGCGUUCGCACUCACAAAUGCAGGUUCCGGGGCGCAGCAUCUUCCUACACAUUCAAGCUGCCCUCCGGUAAGCACAAAAGCAGCAGACCAGAGGCUGGCAGCGGGAAAUGGACAACACACCGACGGCCCCGGACUACCGACAAUUAUUCCGUUUUGGCCAAGCACGCAGCGACUGAAUAGGUUUAUUUCGAAACCGGUAAAGGAGCGGGAAAAGUGGCACAAGGUUGCGGUAGAUAAUGUUCACUCACUUACCUCGGUCUCUCCCGAAGCCAUGGUGCCUGGACCUAAACCCCGCCCAUACACGAUGACGUCACCAAGAUCGAUUUUUUUUUUCUCAACAGGCCUGUCAUGAAGGAAUCUUUAUGGCUUACAGGGACUGUUGAAUAUACAUUUUUUUGCAGCGUAUUGCAGGUCCUAGAUGUUCCUAAAUGUUAUGUAGUACUCAAGAUCAAUAAGGAUGGUAAUUGUCCGUCAUCGGAUUUUUCAUGGAUGCUGAUGAUUCCAAGUUCAUCGCUAUGUGCUCACUUACAGGUUCAUCCAGGAUCCCUCGUAGCUCCUAUUUAAUACAAUCAGAGUGUCAGGCGGCUGGAACAACAAUCCAGCUUGCACGCCAGUUCCAAGUCUGAUGGUUCGCUUUGGUGUCUCACAAAGUGAGUCCGGCAGUGUGGCAGCCCAAGAUAACACAGGUUCUCUCUCUGCAGUAGAGAUGUCCUCAUCUGAAAUUGCAGAAAAACACAUCUCCAUUUGCCAUCCUUUCGGCCAUUGUGUGUGACCACAGUUAUCUUUCCAUUCGGGUUGCUGGUCUGGUGGAAAUUCUCUGGUCUACAUAGCACGAUUUGUAGUUUUUCAUUUGCAAUGUAUCAUAGCUACAUGUAGAAAGUUUACAUUUAAAAACCGUGUGAAAAUCAGUUAAUUAUUGAGAAAGUUAUGAUGGAAUAAAUGUGCUGACACUUCAUUGAUCCUGUCACUAGAUAGAGAUGUUUACCGGUUUAAGAUGGCGCCCCGACGGCUCGUCAGCGCCAAAGUAGCGGUCGAUGUGGCAUCUCUAUAAGAUAUUUAUGUAUAAACAUGUAUUGAUCCAUAAUACAACACUGCACUGUUUUUUUCUUACAUGCCAGUUCGCAGUCUUUAAAUAGAAACUUCCUGUACCGAUGUCAGAAUAUGAAAAAACAUGUUUUUGUUAGGUUUUUUUAGUUUAUGGUCAUUGGUGAUUAACAAUUGUUUUUUGAUUUUCAAUUCCCAUGUUAUCAACUUGUGCUUUUGUCCAGGUUUUUCUGUUGAUUUUUGUUUUCUUGAUAUUUUCUUAAAGAUCAAAGUUUACCCUUUUUAUAUUACAUUUUGGUAACACUUUAGUAUGGGGAACAUAUUGUAAGUAACAAAGACUUAAUUUAGAGUUUUUGGACACUAGGGGAACAUAUAAGGGUUAGGGUUAGGGUUACUAAUAAGCAAUAAUUCUGAGGUUAUUGAGGGAAGACUCUUAGUUAACGGCUUACUGGUUGUAUAAUAAGGCCAUGCAGAAUAAGGCAUUAAUAAGUACUUAAUAAUGACUAAUUAAGAGCCAAUAUGUUACUAACUUGCAUGUUAAUAAGCAACUAAUUAAUGGAUGAAUUUGUUCCCCAUGGGCAGCACGGUGGAACAGGGGUUAUUGCAUGUGCCUCACAAUACGAAGGUCCUGAGUUCAAUCCCGGGCUCGGGGUCUUUCUAUGUGGAGUUUGCAUGUUCUCCCCGUGACUGCGUGGGUUCCCUCCGGGUACUCCGGCUUCCUCCCACCUCCAAAAACAUGCACCUGGGGAUAGGUUGAUUGGCAACACUAAAUUGGCCCUAGUGUGUGAAUGUGAGUGUUAAUGUUGUCUGUCUAUCUGUGUUGGCCCUGUGAUGAGGUGGCGACUUGUCCGGGGUGUACCCCGCCUUCCGCCCGAAUGCAGUUGAGAUAGGCUACAGCACCCCCCGCGACCCCGAAAGGGACAAGCGGUAGAAAAUGGAUGGAUGGAUAUGUUCCCCAUACUAAAGUGUUACCUAAAUUGUAUGUCUCUAACUUACAAACUGUAACAUAUGUGUCAGAUAUUGGAUGUUUGAAUAAAGUAUCUAUCUAUCUAUCUAUCCAUCUAUCAAACAUGGUGUUAAAACAUGUAAAUUAGGAAAUAAUUAAAUCAAUAAUUACAUUGUGAAGUAACUAAUUAAAUCGUGAAAUAGUGAAAUUAAUGAAUUAAUGACACAUUUAUUAGACUAAUUUGUUCCAAUUAUACUUCAUUAUUGAUACAUUUAAUUACUUAAACAUUUUUUUUAUUUAAUGUUGCCUUCUUUAGCCCUCCAUAUUAUUGACCCUCCAUAACAAGUCAUGUUGGGGGUUUUCGUUGUGUAUUACUUUUGUAGCAGUAUGUGGCAGCUGCUGUACUCUUUCCAUGUCUUUUAUCUCCUUUGUGUUCUUUAAUGUUUCCCACUUGUUUUCAUGACACUACUUUAUGUUUGUGGACUUUUUGAAAUUGUAUUGCUACCGCAUAAUUUCCCCCAUUGUGGGAUAAAUAAAGUCUAA
Entelurus aequoreus (snake pipefish) is the source of this 2679-nucleotide long non-coding RNA. RefSeq lists it as uncharacterized. The transcript has 4 exons. The record is from RefSeq and is a predicted model, not a curated record. NCBI's taxonomy places the organism in Eukaryota, Metazoa, Chordata, Actinopteri, Syngnathiformes, Syngnathidae.